Molecule: ribosomal RNA, 458 nt
Filed under: uncultured bacterium
Lineage: Bacteria
Description: SSU rRNA
Rfam family: Bacterial small subunit ribosomal RNA
Source: RNAcentral
AGAAUCAACGCUGGCGGCGUGCCUAACACAUGCAAGUCGAACGAGAAAGUGGAGCAAUCCAUGAGUAAAGUGGCGACCGGGUGAGUAACACGUGACUAACCUACCUUCGAGUGGGGGAUAACCUCGGGAAACCGGGGCUAAUACCGCAUAAUGCCUUCGGGUUAAAGGAGCAAUUCGCUUGAAGAGGGGUCGCGGCUGAUUAGCUAGUUGGCGGGGUAACUGCCCACCAAGGCGAUGAUCGGUAGCCGGCCUGAGAGGGCGCACGGCCACACUGGAACUGAAACACGGUCCAGACUCCUACGGGAGGCAGCAGUGGGGAAUUUUGCGCAAUGGGGGAAACCCUGACGCAGCAACGCCGCGUGGAGGAUGAAGUCCCUUGGGACGUAAACUCCUUUCGACCGGACGAUAAUGACGGUACCGGUGGAAGAAGCCCCGGCUAACUUCGCGCCAGCAGCCGC